GAGUUUGAUCCUGGCUCAAAGCGAACGCUGGCGGCAGGCUUAACACAUGCAAGUCGAGCGGGCGUAGCAAUACGUCAGCGGCAGACGGGUGAGUAACGCGUGGGAACGUACCUUUUGGUUCGGAACAACACAGGGAAACUUGUGCUAAUACCGGAUAAGCCCUUACGGGGAAAGAUUUAUCGCCGAAAGAUCGGCCCGCGUCUGAUUAGCUAGUUGGUGAGGUAACGGCUCACCAAGGCGACGAUCAGUAGCUGGUCUGAGAGGAUGAUCAGCCACAUUGGGACUGAGACACGGCCCAAACUCCUACGGGAGGCAGCAGUGGGGAAUAUUGGACAAUGGGCGCAAGCCUGAUCCAGCCAUGCCGCGUGAGUGAUGAAGACCCUAGGGUUGUAAAGCUCUUUUGUGCGGGAAGAUAAUGACGGUACCGCAAGAAUAAGCCCCGGCUAACUUCGUGCCAGCAGCCGCGGUGAUACGAAGGGGGCUAGCGUUGCUCGGAAUCACUGGGCGUAAAGGGUGCGUAGGCGGGUCUUUAAGUCAGGGGUGAAAUCCUGGAGCUCAACUCCAGAACUGCCCUUGAUACUGAGGAUCUUGAGUUCGGGAGAGGUGAGUGGAACUGCGAGUGUAGAGGUGAAAUUCGUAGAUAUUCGCAAGAACACCAGUGGCGAAGGCGGCUCACUGGCCCGAUACUGACGCUGAGGCACGAAAGCGUGGGUAGCGAACAGGAUUAGAUACCCUGGUAGUC
RNAcentral lists this ribosomal RNA (742 nucleotides) under uncultured bacterium. RNAcentral describes it as "bacterial SSU rRNA". It matches the Rfam family "Bacterial small subunit ribosomal RNA", at positions 9 to 795 of the family's 1533-position model. The record is from RNAcentral.